GAUGAAGAACGUAGCGAAAUGCGAUAAGUAAUGUGAAUUGCAGAAUUCAGUGAAUCAUCGAAUCUUUGAACGCACAUUGCGCCCCUUGGUAUUCCGAGGGGCAUGCCUGUUCGAGCGUCAUUAUAACCCCUCAAGCUCAGCUUGGUGUUGGGGCCUGCUGCACUGGCAGCCCUUAAAAUCAGUGGCGGCGCCAUCUGGCUCUAAGCGUAGUAAUUCUUCUCGCUAUGGAGUCCUGGUGGAUGCUUGCCAUCAACCCCCAAUUUUUCUAUGGUUGACCUCGGAUCAGGUAGGGAUACCCGCUGAACUUAAGCAUAUCAAUAAGCGGAGGG
Molecule: unclassified non-coding RNA, 329 nt
Filed under: soil metagenome
Description: partial contains 5.8S ribosomal RNA, internal transcribed spacer 2, and large subunit ribosomal RNA
Rfam family: 5.8S ribosomal RNA (bases 1-120)
Source: RNAcentral